RNAcentral lists this ribosomal RNA (31 nucleotides) under Pentatrichomonas hominis. RNAcentral describes it as "partial 28S ribosomal RNA". The record is from RNAcentral. Lineage: Eukaryota; Parabasalia; Trichomonadida; Trichomonadidae.
CGUAGUCUGGGAUAUGUAGGAAGACCCGCUG